UGGGGUAUGGUGAAAAGGCAACACAUAGCACUUUGACUGCUACAUUUACUGGUUCGAAUCCAGUUACCCCAG
RNAcentral lists this transfer RNA (72 nucleotides) under Caudoviricetes sp. RNAcentral describes it as "tRNA-Gln". It matches the Rfam family "tRNA". From Rfam's summary of the family: Transfer RNA (tRNA) molecules are approximately 80 nucleotides in length. Their secondary structure includes four short double-helical elements and three loops (D, anti-codon, and T loops). Lineage: Duplodnaviria; Heunggongvirae; Uroviricota; Caudoviricetes. The record is from RNAcentral.